GAUGAACGCUGGCGGCGUGCCUAAUACAUGCAAGUCGAGCGAACGGACGAGAAGCUUGCUUCUCUGAUGUUAGCGGCGGACGGGUGAGUAACACGUGGAUAACCUACCUAUAAGACUGGGAUAACUUCGGGAAACCGGAGCUAAUACCGGAUGAUAUUUUGAACCGCAUGGUUCAAAAGUGAAAGACGGUCUUGCUGUCACUUAUAGAUGGAUCCGCGCUGCAUUAGCUAGUUGGUAAGGUAACGGCUUACCAAGGCAACGAUGCAUAGCCGACCUGAGAGGGUGAUCGGCCACACUGGAACUGAGACACGGUCCAGACUCCUACGGGAGGCAGCAGUAGGGAAUCUUCCGCAAUGGGCGAAAGCCUGACGGAGCAACGCCGCGUGAGUGAUGAAGGUCUUCGGAUCGUAAAACUCUGUUAUUAGGGAAGAACAUAUGUGUAAGUAACUGUGCACAUCUUGACGGUACCAAAUCAGAAAGCCACAGCUAACUACGUG
Molecule: ribosomal RNA, 497 nt
Filed under: uncultured bacterium
Lineage: Bacteria
Description: partial 16S ribosomal RNA
Rfam family: Bacterial small subunit ribosomal RNA
Source: RNAcentral